GAUGAACGCUGGCGGCGUGCCUAAUACAUGCAAGUCGAGCGAACAGAUGAGGAGCUUGCUCCUCUGACGUUAGCGGCGGACGGGUGAGUAACACGUGGAUAACCUACCUAUAAGACUGGGAUAACUUCGGGAAACCGGAGCUAAUACCGGAUAAUAUAUUGAACCGCAUGGUUCACUAGUGAAAGACGGUUUUGCUGUCACUUAUAGAUGGAUCCGCGCCGCAUUAGCUAGUUGGUAAGGUAACGGCUUCCAAGGCAACGAUGCGUAGCCGACCUGAGAGGGUGAUCGGCCACACUGGAACUGAGACACGGUCCAGACUCCUACGGGAGGCAGCAGUAGGGAAUCUUCCGCAAUGGGCGAAAGCCUGACGGAGCAACGCCGCGUGAGUGAUGAAGGUCUUCGGAUCGUAAAACUCUGUUAUUAGGGAAGAACAAAUGUGUAAGUAACUAUGCACGUCUUGACGGUACCUAAUCAGAAAGCCACGGCUAACUACGUG
RNAcentral lists this ribosomal RNA (496 nucleotides) under uncultured bacterium. Its description in RNAcentral is "partial 16S ribosomal RNA". It matches the Rfam family "Bacterial small subunit ribosomal RNA", at positions 28 to 507 of the family's 1533-position model. The record is from RNAcentral.